UACGUAGGGUGCAAGCGUUAAUCGGAAUUACUGGGCGUAAAGGGUGCGUAGGUGGUAUUUUAAGUUAGCUGUGAAAUUCCUGGGCUUAACCUGGGGUGGUCAGCUAAGACUGGAAGACUAUGAGUAUAGGAGAGGGUAGUGGAAUUUCCGGUGUAGCGGUGAAAUGCGUAGAGAUCGGAAGGAACACCAGUGGCGAAGGCGGCUACCUGGCCUGAUACUGACACUGAGGCACGAAAGCGUGGGGAGCAAACAGG
RNAcentral lists this ribosomal RNA (254 nucleotides) under uncultured bacterium. Its description in RNAcentral is "partial 16S ribosomal RNA". It matches the Rfam family "Bacterial small subunit ribosomal RNA", at positions 524 to 776 of the family's 1533-position model. The record is from RNAcentral.